RNAcentral lists this transfer RNA (85 nucleotides) under Felis catus (domestic cat). It matches the Rfam family "tRNA". Rfam says of the family: Transfer RNA (tRNA) molecules are approximately 80 nucleotides in length. Their secondary structure includes four short double-helical elements and three loops (D, anti-codon, and T loops). Further hydrogen bonds mediate the characteristic L-shaped molecular structure. tRNAs have two regions of fundamental functional importance: the anti-codon, which is responsible for specific mRNA codon recognition, and the 3' end, to which the tRNAs corresponding amino acid is attached (by aminoacyl-tRNA synthetases). tRNAs cope with the degeneracy of the genetic code in two manners: having more than one tRNA (with a specific anti-codon) for a particular amino acid; and 'wobble' base-pairing, i.e. permitting non-standard base-pairing at the 3rd anti-codon position. The record is from Rfam by way of RNAcentral. Lineage: Eukaryota; Metazoa; Chordata; Mammalia; Carnivora; Felidae.
ACCUAGGUGGCUCAGUCGGUUAAGCAUCUGACUUUGGCUCAGGUCUUGAUGUCAUGGUUCGUGAGUUCAAGCCCCACGCUGGGCA